AGUGAGCGCUGGCGGUAGGCCUAACACAUGCAAGUCGAACGGCAGCACAGUAAGAGCUUGCUCUUACGGGUGGCGAGUGGCGGACGGGUGAGGAAUACAUCGGAAUCUACUUUUUCGUGGGGGAUAACGUAGGGAAACUUACGCUAAUACCGCAUACGACCUACGGGUGAAAGCAGGGGAUCUUCGGACCUUGCGCGAUUGAAUGAGCCGAUGUCGGAUUAGCUAGUUGGCGGGGUAAAGGCCCACCAAGGCGACGAUCCGUAGCUGGUCUGAGAGGAUGAUCAGCCACACUGGAACUGAGACACGGUCCAGACUCCUACGGGAGGCAGCAGUGGGGAAUAUUGGACAAGGGGCGCAAGCCUGAUCCAGCCAUACCGCGGGGGUGAAGAAGGCCUUCGGGUUGUAAAGCCCUUUUGUUGGGAAAGAAAAGCAGCAGGUUAAUACCCCGCUGUUCGGACGGUACCCAAAGAAUAAGCACCGGCUAACUUCGU
Molecule: ribosomal RNA, 491 nt
Filed under: uncultured bacterium
Lineage: Bacteria
Description: partial 16S ribosomal RNA
Rfam family: Bacterial small subunit ribosomal RNA
Source: RNAcentral